CCUACGGGGGGCAGCAGUGGGGAAUAUUGCACAAUGGGGGAAACCCUGAUGCAGCGACGCCGCGUGAGUGAAGAAGUAAUUCGUUAUGGAAAGCUCUAUCAGCCGGGAAGAAAAUGACGGUACCUGAGUAAGAAGCCCCGGCUAACUACGUGCCAGCAGCCGCGGUAAUACGUCGGGGGCAAGCGUUAUCCGGAUUUACUGGGUGUAAAGGGAGCGUAGACGGCAGUGCAAGUCUGGAGGGAAAGGCGGGGGCUCAACCCCCGGACUGCUCUUGAAACUGUACUGCUUGAGUGAAGGAGAGGUAAGUGGAAUGCGUAGUGUAGCGGUGAAAUGCGUAGAUAUUAGGAGGAACACCAGUUGCGAAGGCGGCUUACCGGACUGUAACUGACGUUGAGGCUCGAAAGCGUGGGGAGCAAACAGGAUUAGAUACCCUUGUAGUC
This 440-nucleotide ribosomal RNA is filed under the name uncultured bacterium. RNAcentral describes it as "partial 16S ribosomal RNA". It matches the Rfam family "Bacterial small subunit ribosomal RNA", at positions 338 to 795 of the family's 1533-position model. The record is from RNAcentral.